Uranotaenia lowii is the source of this 832-nucleotide long non-coding RNA. RefSeq lists it as uncharacterized. The record is from RefSeq and is a predicted model, not a curated record. Lineage: Eukaryota; Metazoa; Arthropoda; Insecta; Diptera; Culicidae. The transcript has 5 exons.
AUCGGGCGGACGGAUGUUCUUCAGCGGAAGGCCUGGAUUCAGGUUAGUUUUCGAUUUCGCUAAAUUAACAUUUCCGGAACGAACUGCUUUCGCAUGUUGGGGGCUCAGCCGUUACCUCAACCUCGAACAACUGUGAUGGUUGGAGAUGGUUGGUGCUAAUCUCAUAUGUAGCAUAAUUGACAUCCCAUGCACCAAUAAAACGACGAAAGCAGGAGCGCUUCUGACAGAUCGUCAAAGUUCAACAAAAACCCGUCCAGCAUUAUCAUACCGGAUGAGCACCACAGCAGCAGAAGCGAUAGCGAGUUCGAGCGGAAGAGCAGCAUCAGUAACAUAGUCAUCGAUAAGGACGGAAGCUAGUGAAAAAGUAUAGCUUCGAUUAUUGUCACAUUUUUAUCGCCAAGGUAUGGACGACGUUGCUGGCGUAGCUCAUUAUUGACAUCUAAGGAACCGUGCGCCGAAAAUUGUAGUGAAUUUGAAGGCUGAAAACGUGGUAAUCAACAGCACCAACAUAGCCACGUAAAGAUUUCCAUGUCGUCUUUUUCCCCGCCGCUGCUGUCGCAGAAAUGAAACCGUGGAUCCGUAGUAUUUUGAAGGACUCGAGAAAAGGUUUCAAGCGUCUAGUCGUGAUUUCUUUUUUUGCGGUACAACGGUCACUGCAGACGGCAUCGUAUACCCAACUGGACUUCUGGAUUCACCGCACCUGACGAUAAAACGGAAAAAAUGCGCCAUCGGUAACCUGGCGCACUGCGUAAAUGUAAUCGGGAUCCGGAGAUUGUGAGACGGCAUCGUAUACCCAACUGGACUUCUGGAUUCACCGCACCUGACGGUAAAA